RNAcentral lists this ribosomal RNA (253 nucleotides) under uncultured bacterium. Its description in RNAcentral is "partial 16S ribosomal RNA". It matches the Rfam family "Bacterial small subunit ribosomal RNA", at positions 524 to 776 of the family's 1533-position model. The record is from RNAcentral.
UACGGAGGGUGCGAGCGUUGUCCGGAAUCACUGGGCGUAAAGGGCGCGUAGGCGGCCUGAUAAGUAGGGGGUGAAAUCCUGCGGCUUAACCGCAGGGCUGCCUUCUAAACUGUCAGGCUCGAGCACAGUAGAGGCAGGUGGAAUUCCCGGUGUAGCGGUGGAAUGCGUAGAUAUCGGGAGGAACACCUAUGGCGAAGGCAGCUCGCUGGGACGUUACUGACGCUGAGACGCGAAAGCGUGGGGAGCAAACAGG